Molecule: ribosomal RNA, 496 nt
Filed under: uncultured bacterium
Lineage: Bacteria
Description: partial 16S ribosomal RNA
Rfam family: Bacterial small subunit ribosomal RNA
Source: RNAcentral
GAUGAACGCUGGCGGCGUGCCUAAUACAUGCAAGUCGAGCGAACAGACGAGGAGCUUGCUCCUCUGACGUUAGCGGCGGACGGGUGAGUAACACGUGGAUAACCUACCUAUAAGACUGGGAUAACUUCGGGAAACCGGAGCUAAUACCGGAUAAUAUAUUGAACCGCAUGGUUCAAUAGUGAAAGACGGUUUUGCUGUCACUUAUAGAUGGAUCCGCGCCGCAUUAGCUAGUUGGUAAGGUAACGGCUUACCAAGGCAACGAUGCGUAGCCGACCUGAGAGGUGGAUCGGCCACACUGGAACGGAGACACGUUCCAGACUCCUACGGGAGGCAGCAGUAGGGAAUCUUCCGCAAGGGGCGAAAGCCUGACGGAGCAACGCGGCGUGAGUGAUGAAGGUCUUCGGAUCGUAAAACUCUGUUAUUAGGAAAGAACAAAUGUGUAAGUAACUAUGCACGUCUUGACGGUACCUAAUCAGAAAGCCACGGCUAACUACGU